CCAGUCUGAAGGGCUGCACCUUCAUUGUGAGUAUAGAGCUUCCUUUGCAAUAUUCAUCCUUCUUACCUAGUCCCCUGUUGCGAUUAUACUUCUGGUUAUUUAAAUGUUGUCAAAGACUAGGAACGUUACCCAGAUCUUAAAAACUAUUCCAGUCUUCCUGCAUCCAACCAAAAUGUUUUAAAAUAUAACAAACCUGUGAAGAAAUGUAG
This is a long non-coding RNA of Phyllostomus discolor (pale spear-nosed bat), 209 nucleotides long. RefSeq lists it as uncharacterized. The transcript has 3 exons. NCBI's taxonomy places the organism in Eukaryota, Metazoa, Chordata, Mammalia, Chiroptera, Phyllostomidae. The record is from RefSeq and is a predicted model, not a curated record.